AGAGUUGAUCUGGCUCAGGAUGAACGCUAGCUACAGGCUUAACACAUGCAAGUCGAGGGGCAGCAUGAAGUUUGCUUGCAAACUUGAUGGCGACCGGCGCACGGGUGAGUAACGCGUAUCCAACCUUCCCUAUACUAGAGGAUAGCCCGGCGAAAGUCGGAUUAAUACUCUAUAUUCUUCGUAGAAGACAUCUGAAAUGAAGCAAAGGUUUACCGGUAUAGGAUGGGGAUGCGUCUGAUUAGGUUGUUGGCGGGGUAACGGCCCACCAAGCCCACGAUCAGUAGGGGUUCUGAGAGGAAGGUCCCCCACAUUGGAACUGAGACACGGUCCAAACUCCUACGGGAGGCAGCAGUGAGGAAUAUUGGUCAAUGGACGAGAGUCUGAACCAGCCAAGUAGCGUGCAGGAUGACGGCCCUAUGGGUUGUAAACUGCUUUUAUACAGGGAUAAAGUGACGUACGUGUACGUUUUUGUAGGUACUGUAUGAAUAAGGACCGGCUAAUUCCGUGCCAGCCGCGGC
This 518-nucleotide ribosomal RNA is filed under the name uncultured bacterium. RNAcentral's name for it is "bacterial SSU rRNA". It matches the Rfam family "Bacterial small subunit ribosomal RNA", at positions 8 to 518 of the family's 1533-position model. The record is from RNAcentral.